AAGACCUUGCGCUUUUGGAGCGGCCGAUGUCUGAUUAGCUUGUUGGUGAGGUAAAGGCUUACCAAGGCUUCGAUCAGUAGCUGGUCUGAGAGGACGGCCAGCCACACUGGGACUGAGACACGGCCCAGACUCCUACGGGAGGCAGCAGUGGGGAAUUUUGGACAAUGGGGGCAACCCUGAUCCAGCCAUGCCGCGUGAGUGAAGAAAGCCUUCGGGUUGUAAAGCUCUUUCAGCCGGAACGAAACGGUUACGGUUAAUACCCGUGACUACUGACGGUACCGGAAGAAGAAGCACCGGCUAACUACGUGCCAGCAGCCGCGGUAAUACGUAGGGUGCAAGCGUUAAUCGGAAUUACUGGGCGUAAAGCGUGCGCAGGUGGUUUUGUAAGUCAGAUGUGAAAUCCCCGGGCUUAACCUGGGAACU
This 423-nucleotide ribosomal RNA is filed under the name uncultured bacterium. RNAcentral's name for it is "bacterial SSU rRNA". It matches the Rfam family "Bacterial small subunit ribosomal RNA", at positions 207 to 622 of the family's 1533-position model. The record is from RNAcentral.